This 498-nucleotide ribosomal RNA is filed under the name uncultured bacterium. Its description in RNAcentral is "partial 16S ribosomal RNA". It matches the Rfam family "Bacterial small subunit ribosomal RNA", at positions 28 to 507 of the family's 1533-position model. The record is from RNAcentral.
GACGAACGCUGGCGGCGUGCCUAAUACAUGCAAGUCGAACGAGAGCGACCGGUGCUUGCACUGGUCAAUCUAGUGGCGAACGGGUGAGUAACACGUGGGUAACCUGCCCAUCAGAGGGGGAUAACAUUCGGAAACGGAUGCUAAUACCGCAUAGGUCUUCGAACCGCAUGGUUUGAAGAGGAAAAGAGGCGCAAGCUUCUGCUGAUGGAUGGACCCGCGGUGCAUUAGCUAGUUGGUGAGGUAACGGCUCACCAAGGCCGUGAUGCAUAGCCGACCUGAGAGGGUGAUCGGCCACAUUGGGACUGAGACACGGCCCAAACUCCUACGGGAGGCAGCAGUAGGGAAUCUUCCGCAAUGGACGCAAGUCUGACGGAGCAACGCCGCGUGAGUGAAGAAGGUGUUCGGAUCGUAAAACUCUGUUGUUAGAGAAGAAUAAGUGCUAGAGUAACUGUUAGCGCCUUGACGGUAUCUAACCAGAAAGCCACGGCUAACUACGUG